Long non-coding RNA from Haliotis rubra (blacklip abalone), 797 nucleotides. RefSeq lists it as uncharacterized. The transcript has 4 exons. NCBI's taxonomy places the organism in Eukaryota, Metazoa, Mollusca, Gastropoda, Lepetellida, Haliotidae. The record is from RefSeq and is a predicted model, not a curated record.
AAGUUCUUUAUAGUGUAUAACAGCUGUCGCUACAGGUCACCAUGACCAACGGUGUUACAAAUGAAUGCACAUUGAGCAGAUAUGCUUGUUCAAGAGUCCGCUUCCCAUUGCACAUGACCUAUAUCUGUGGAGUCGGUGAUACUGUUACACGGGGAGAAGCUAUGGGACGUCACAAGGCAGGUUCGAAUUGUUUGAAUACCUACGAAAUACGAGAAAGGGAAUGCUGCUGACGUGUCAAUGUCUCAUCAUAUCCGCUGCCACUGAAGUCUCAACCUGCACGUCUUUGAGCAUUACGUAGCACCGAACGUCAGCCAUCAUUCCAGAUAAUAAAUAAUAAUUAAUCUUUUUCUAUGAGGAAGAUUCGGUCAAAUAUUCAACACUUCACAAUGACGCAUUCUACCAGUAAACGCUCUGUUUACAUGGAUUACUUCCCACACUAUUCGGAAAGACUUUUAGUUUCUGGAGUUACUGAAGUAUACGGAUCAUAAUGCAUUCAAUGAUACCAGGAUAAUAUGACGGCACUUCCCUUCCUUACGUUUUGUGCUGCCAUGUGUUUUUCCUUUAAUGUGAACUUUCUUGGAAACAUUUAUUAGGCAUGACAGAUAUGCAUGGUGGACAUUUUGUAAGACGUGAUGUCUGUGCUAUUUCGUCACAUACGUAGAAGUGAGUGAGUGAAUUUUGUUUUACGCCGCGCCGCUUCGGCGUGACGGGCGAACGCUUUAACCACUAGGCUACGCCACCGCCUACAUGACAUACAAAAUAGACCGCCUUUAACAAACAAAAUAGUUACCAUGUUG